UGCGGCUGUGGCGGAAUUGGCAGACGCGCAGGACUUAGGAUCCUGUACCGCAAGGUGUGGGGGUUCAAGUCCCUCCAGCCGCAA
This 84-nucleotide transfer RNA is filed under the name Candidatus Omnitrophica bacterium ADurb.Bin277. RNAcentral's name for it is "tRNA-Leu". It matches the Rfam family "tRNA". Rfam says of the family: Transfer RNA (tRNA) molecules are approximately 80 nucleotides in length. Their secondary structure includes four short double-helical elements and three loops (D, anti-codon, and T loops). Lineage: Bacteria; Pseudomonadati; Candidatus Omnitrophota. The record is from RNAcentral.